This 1346-nucleotide ribosomal RNA is filed under the name uncultured bacterium. RNAcentral's name for it is "partial 16S ribosomal RNA". It matches the Rfam family "Bacterial small subunit ribosomal RNA", at positions 28 to 1381 of the family's 1533-position model. The record is from RNAcentral.
GACGAACGCUGGCGGCGCGCUUAACACAUGCAAGUCGAACGGAAAGGCCCUGCUUUUGUGGGGUGCUCGAGUGGCGAACGGGUGAGUAACACGUGAGUAACCUGCCCUUGACUUUGGGAUAACUUCAGGAAACUGGGGCUAAUACCGGAUAGGAGCUCCUGCUGCAUGGUGGGGGUUGGAAAGUUUCGGCGGUUGGGGAUGGACUCGCGGCUUAUCAGCUUGUUGGUGGGGUAGUGGCUUACCAAGGCUUUGACGGGUAGCCGGCCUGAGAGGGUGACCGGCCACAUUGGGACUGAGAUACGGCCCAGACUCCUACGGGAGGCAGCAGUGGGGAAUAUUGCACAAUGGGCGGAAGCCUGAUGCAGCGACGCCGCGUGCGGGAUGACGGCCUUCGGGUUGUAAACCGCUUUCGCCUGUGACGAAGCGUGAGUGACGGUAAUGGGUAAAGAAGCACCGGCUAACUACGUGCCAGCAGCCGCGGUGAUACGUAGGGUGCGAGCGUUGUCCGGAUUUAUUGGGCGUAAAGGGCUCGUAGGUGGUUGAUCGCGUCGGAAGUGUAAUCUUGGGGCUUAACCCUGAGCGUGCUUUCGAUACGGGUUGACUUGAGGAAGGUAGGGGAGAAUGGAAUUCCUGGUGGAGCGGUGGAAUGCGCAGAUAUCAGGAGGAACACCAGUGGCGAAGGCGGUUCUCUGGGCCUUUCCUGACGCUGAGGAGCGAAAGCGUGGGGAGCGAACAGGCUUAGAUACCCUGGUAGUCCACGCUGUAAACGGUGGGUACUAGGUGUGGGGUCCAUUCCACGGGUUCCGUGCCGUAGCUAACGCUUUAAGUACCCCGCCUGGGGAGUACGGCCGCAAGGCUAAAACUCAAAGGAAUUGACGGGGCCCCGCACAAGCGGCGGAGCAUGCGGAUUAAUUCGAUGCAACGCGUAGAACCUUACCUGGGUUUGACAUGGAUCGGGAGUGCUCAGAGAUGGGUGUGCCUCUUCUGGGGUCGGUUCACAGGUGGUGCAUGGCUGUCGUCAGCUCGUGUCGUGAGAUGUUGGGUUAAGUCCCGCAACGAGCGCAACCCUUGUUCACUGUUGCCAGCACGUUAUGGUGGGGACUCAGUGGAGACCGCCGGGGUCAACUCGGAGGAAGGUGGGGAUGACGUCAAGUCAUCAUGCCCCUUAUGUCCAGGGCUUCACGCAUGCUACAAUGGCUGGUACAGAGAGUGGCGAGCCUGUGAGGGUGAGCGAAUCUCGGAAAGUCGGUCUCAGUUCGGAUUGGGGUCUGCAACUCGACCUCAUGAAGUCGGAGUCGCUAGUAAUCGCAGAUCAGCAACGCUGCGGUGAAUACGUUCCCGGGGCU